RNAcentral lists this ribosomal RNA (36 nucleotides) under uncultured soil eukaryote. Its description in RNAcentral is "partial 5.8S ribosomal RNA". The record is from RNAcentral.
UGGUAUUCCGGAGGGCAUGCCUGUUUGAGCGUCGUU